Molecule: ribosomal RNA, 468 nt
Filed under: uncultured bacterium
Lineage: Bacteria
Description: partial 16S ribosomal RNA
Rfam family: Bacterial small subunit ribosomal RNA
Source: RNAcentral
GACGAACGCUGGCGGCGUGCUUAACACAUGCAAGUCGAACGGAAAGGCCCUGCUUUUGUGGGGUGCUCGAGUGGCGAACGGGUGAGUAACACGUGAGUAACCUGCCCUUGACUUUGGGAUAACUUCAGGAAACUGGGGCUACUACCGGAUAGGAGCUCCUGCUGCAUGGUGGGGGUUGGAAAGUUUCGGCGGUCGGAGAUUGACUCGCGGCUUAUCCGCUUGUUGGUGGGGUAGUGGCUUACCAAGGCUUCGACGGGUAGCCGGCCUGAGAGGGUGACCGGCCACAUUGGGACUGAGAUACGGCCCAGACGCCUACGGGAGGCAACAGUGGGGAAUAGUGCACAAUGGGCGGAAGCCUGAUGCAGAAACGCCACGUGCGGGAUGACGGCCUUCGGGUUGUAAACCGCUUUCGCCUGUGACGAAGCGUGAGUGACGGUAAUGGGUAAAGAAGCACCGGCUAACUACGUG